GGAAUCUGGGAGGACCAUCUCCUAAGGCUAAAUACUCUCUAGUGACCGAUAGUGAACCAGUACCGUGAGGGAAAGGUGAAAAGCACCCCGGAAGGGGAGUGAAAUAGAACCUGAAACCGUGUGCUUACAAGUAGUCAGAGCCCGUUAAUGGGUGAUGGCGUGCCUUUUGUAGAAUGAACCGGCGAGUUACGAUUUGAUGCAAGGUUAAGCAGUAAAUGUGGAGCCGUAGCGAAAGCGAGUCUGAAUAGGGCGUUUAGUAUUUGGUCGUAGACCCGAAACCAGGUGAUCUACCCUUGGUCAGGUUGAAGUUCAGGUAACACUGAAUGGAGGACCGAACCGACUUACGUUGAAAAGUGAGCGGAUGAACUGAGGGUAGCGGAGAAAUUCCAAUCGAACCUGGAGAUAGCUGGUUCUCUCCGAAAUAGCUUUAGGGCUAGCCUCAAGUGAUGAUUAUUGGAGGUAGAGCACUGUUUGGACGAGGGGCCCCUCUCGGGUUACCGAAUUCAGACAAACUCCGAAUGCCAAUUAAUUUAACUUGGGAGUCAGAACAUGGGUGAUAAGGUCCGUGUUCGAAAGGGAAACAGCCCAGACCACCAGCUAAGGUCCCAAAAUAUAUGUUAAGUGGAAAAGGAUGUGGCGUUGCCCAGACAACUAGGAUGUUGGCUUAGAAGCAGCCAUCAUUUAAAGAGUGCGUAAUAGCUCACUAGUCGAGUGACACUGCGCCGAAAAUGUACCGGGGCUAAACAUAUUACCGAAGCUGUGGAUUGUCCUUUGGACAAUGGUAGGAGAGCGUUCUAAGGGCGUUGAAGCAUGAUCGUAAGGACAUGUGGAGCGCUUAGAAGUGAGAAUGCCGGUGUGAGUAGCGAAAGACGGGUGAGAAUCCCGUCCACCGAUUGACUAAGGUUUCCAGAGGAAGGCUCGUCCGCUCUGGGUUAGUCGGGUCCUAAGCUGAGGCCGACAGGCGUAGGCGAUGGAUAACAGGUUGAUAUUCCUGUACCACCUAUAAUCGUUUUAAUCGAUGGGGGGACGCAGUAGGAUAGGCGAAGCGUGCGAUUGGAUUGCACGUCUAAGCAGUAAGGCUGAGUAUUAGGCAAAUCCGGUACUCGUUAAGGCUGAGCUGUGAUGGGGAGAAGACAUUGAGUCUUCGAGUCGUUGAUUUCACACUGCCGAGAAAAGCCUCUAGAUAGAAAAUAGGUGCCCGUACCGCAAACCGACACAGGUAGUCAAGAUGAGAAUUCUAAGGUGAGCGAGCGAACUCUCGUUAAGGAACUCGGCAAAAUGACCCCGUAACUUCGGGAGAAGGGGUGCUCUUUAGGGUUAACGCCCAGAAGAGCCGCAGUGAAUAGGCCCAAGCGACUGUUUAUCAAAAACACAGGUCUCUGCUAAACCGUAAGGUGAUGUAUAGGGGCUGACGCCUGCCCGGUGCUGGAAGGUUAAGAGGAGUGGUUAGCUUCUGCGAAGCUACGAAUCGAAGCCCCAGUAAACGGCGGCCGUAACUAUAACGGUCCUAAGGUAGCGAAAUUCCUUGUCGGGUAAGUUCCGACCCGCACGAAAGGCGUAACGAUUUGGGCACUGUCUCAACGAGAGACUCGGUGAAAUCAUAGUACCUGUGAAGAUGCAGGUUACCCGCGACAGGACGGAAAGACCCCGUGGAGCUUUACUGUAGCCUGAUAUUGAAAUUCGGCACAGCUUGUACAGGAUAGGUAGGAGCCUUUGAAACGUGAGCGCUAGCUUACGUGGAGGCGCUGGUGGGAUACUACCCUAGCUGUGUUGGCUUUCUAACCCGCACCACUUAUCGUGGUGGGAGACAGUGUCAGGCGGGCAGUUUGACUGGGGCGGUCGCCUCCUAAAAGGUAACGGAGGCGCUCAAAGGUUCCCUCAGAAUGGUUGGAAAUCAUUCAUAGAGUGUAAAGGCAUAAGGGAGCUUGACUGCGAGACCUACAAGUCGAGCAGGGUCGAAAGACGGACUUAGUGAUCCGGUGGUUCCGCAUGGAAGGGCCAUCGCUCAACGGAUAAAAGCUACCCCGGGGAUAACAGGCUUAUCUCCCCCAAGAGUUCACAUCGACGGGGAGGUUUGGCACCUCGAUGUCGGCUCAUCGCAUCCUGGGGCUGUAGUCGGUCCCAAGGGUUGGGCUGUUCGCCCAUUAAAGCGGUACGCGAGCUGGGUUCAGAACGUCGUGAGACAGUUCGGUCCCUAUCCGUCGUGGGCGUAGGAAAUUUGAGAGGAGCUGUCCUUAGUACGAGAGGACCGGGAUGGACAUACCUCUGGUGUACCAGUUGUCGUGUCAACGGCAUAGCUGGGUAGCUAUGUGUGGACGGGAUAAGUGCUGAAAGCAUCUAAGCAUGAAGCCCCCCUCAAGAUGAGAUUUCCCAACUUCGGUUAUAAGAUCCCUCAAAGAUGAUGAGGUUAAUAGGUUCGAGGUGGAAGCAUGGUGACAUGUGGAGCUGACGAAUACUAAUCGAUCGAAGACUUAAUCAA
This 2479-nucleotide ribosomal RNA is filed under the name Staphylococcus aureus F12749. RNAcentral describes it as "bacterial LSU rRNA". It matches the Rfam family "Bacterial large subunit ribosomal RNA", at positions 439 to 2925 of the family's 2925-position model. The record is from RNAcentral. Lineage: Bacteria; Bacillati; Bacillota; Bacilli; Caryophanales; Staphylococcaceae.